Molecule: small RNA, 1499 nt
Filed under: Pongo abelii (Sumatran orangutan)
Lineage: Eukaryota; Metazoa; Chordata; Mammalia; Primates; Hominidae
Description: processed transcript
Source: RNAcentral
GUCAAGAUGGCGGCGUCUGUAUUAAACAUCCUGCUGAGGCGGCUUCCUAUGCUUUCUCUCCUCCGAGGUUCUCACAGAGUUCAGGUUCCCCUGCAAACUCUUUGCACCAAAGCUCUCUCUGAGGAAGAUUCUUUGUCCCCAGUUCCCAUUUCUCCUUAUAAGGAUGAGCCCUGGAAAUAUCUGGAAUCAGAAGGUACCUCUAAAGGGGGAAAGGGAGGGUCAGAUAGGAUUUGAGAUAAGUGGGCAGAGCCACCCACUACACUCCCACCCAGGAAUAACUUGUAUGAUCUUUCAUUUCAGAAUACCAGGAGCGAUAUGGUUCUCGCCCCGUCUGGGCUGACUACCGCCGCAACCACAAGGGUGGUGUACCCCCACAGCGGACUCGGAAGACAUGUAUUCGUGGGAAUAAAGUUGUUGGGAAUCCCUGCCCCAUCUGCCGAGAUCACAAGUUGCAUGUUGACUUUAGGAACGUGAAGCUCUUGGAACAAUUUGUCUGCGCCCACACGGGUAUCAUCUUCCAUGCUCCAUACACAGGAGUCUGUGUGAAGCAGCACAAGAGGUUGACCCAGGCCAUCCAGAAAGCCAGGGAUCAUGGUCUCCUCAUUUACCACAUCCCCCAGGUUGAACCACGGGACCUUGACUUCAGUACCUCUCAUGGGGCUGUGAGUGCUACUCCGCCAGCCCCCACCCUGAUCUCAGGUGACCCUUGGUACCCAUGGUACAACUGGAAACAGCCACCGGAGAGAGAACUGUCUCGCCUUCGCCGGCUUUACCAGGGUCAUCUCCGAGAAGAGAGUGGCCCCCCACCUGAGUCAAUGCCCAAGAUGCCCCCUACAACACCAGCGGAAGCCUCCUCCACUGGGCAGACAGGCCCCCAGAGUGCUCUGUAGGGGCUGUAGACUGGGAAGAGAGGCCAGGCGUGGUGGCUCACUCCUGUAAUCCCAGCACUUUGGGAAGCCAAGGUGGGCAGAUCACUUGAUCCCAGGAGUUCGAGACCAGCCUGGGCACCAUGGUGAAACCUCGUCUUUACCAGAAAAUACAAAAAUUAGCUGGUGGUGGUGGUGCACACCUGUAGUCUCAACUAUUGGGGAGGCUAAGGUGGGAGGAUCACUUGAGCCCAGGAGGCGGAGGUUGCAGUGAGUUGCAGUCACACCCCUGCACUCCAGCCUGGGUGACAGCUAGACCCUGUCUCAAAAAAAAAAAAAAAAGACUGGGAAGAGAGCCAGAGGGACUAGGAGAUAACGUCUAUGUAGGUUUAUGUGAUGGGAUAUCACCCUGAAGAGUUGUGUUUUCUGUGGCCAAUGACAAAUCCAGGAAAUGAAUGUUGCUGAUAGGGAUAAAUCUUGAGACUGAGGGCGGGCAGUACAGAUGUGUAUGGGAAACCCCAACCCCUAUAUAUAUUGUAAAUAGAUGGGCUGGGCUAAACAUUGUUGCUGUUUCAUACUUCUACCAACUCAGCUUUUACACAAUAAAGCUCUACUCUCCUGCCUCUGGUUUGC